CGUGUAGGCGGCCUUUCAAGUCUUUGGUGAAAUCUCCCGACUCAAUUGGGAGGUGCCAUAGAAACUGGAGGGCUUGAGGACAGCAGAGGGGGUGGAAUUCCCGGUGUAGUGGUGGUAUGCGUAGAUAUCGGGAGGAACACCAGUGGCGAAGGCGGCCCCCUGGGCUGUUCCUGACGCUGAGGCGCGAAAGCGUGGGGAGCAAACA
RNAcentral lists this ribosomal RNA (205 nucleotides) under uncultured bacterium. RNAcentral's name for it is "partial 16S ribosomal RNA". It matches the Rfam family "Bacterial small subunit ribosomal RNA", at positions 568 to 774 of the family's 1533-position model. The record is from RNAcentral.